CAAAAACAAACAACUUCUUAGUCGAGAACGGUCUAUGUGGUAUCGAUAUGAGUCAGAAACAUUUAUUCUAGUGUCAAAAUGAACUACAAAGUGUAAAUAUGAUCAUGUUGGUCACAAAGUCAGUAUCGAUUUGCGAGAAUAUAGGGUAACCAUGGUUGACAGAGGAAGAACAAUGAUUCCAAGCACCAACCUCCUUUUGAAGCUUCCAGUCUGUUAUUCGAACUCAAUCAGCAUGACAGAGUGAUCUCCAGCCUUGUCCUUGUCAACACUCACACCUGUGUUAACAAGAGAAUCACUGACAUGAUGUCAGCUGGUCCUUUUGUGGCAGGGCUGAAAUGCAGUGGAAAUGUUUUUUGGGGAUUCAGUCAUUUGCAUGGCAAAUAG
RNAcentral lists this long non-coding RNA (384 nucleotides) under Salmo salar (Atlantic salmon). Its description in RNAcentral is "lncRNA (ENSSSAG00000117763.1)". Lineage: Eukaryota; Metazoa; Chordata; Actinopteri; Salmoniformes; Salmonidae. The record is from RNAcentral.